CCUACGGGAGGCAGCAGUGGGGAAUAUUGCACAAUGGGGGAAACCCUGAUGCAGCGACGCCGCGUGAGUGAAGAAGUAAUUCGUUAUGUAAAGCCCUAUCGGCAGGGAAGAAGCAAUACGUUACCUGACUAAGAAGCCCCUGCUAACUACGUGCCAGCAGCCGCGGUAAUACGUAAGGGGCGAGCGUUAUCCGGAGUUAUUGGGUUUAAAGGGUGCGUAGGCUGUAAGGUAAGUCAACGGUGAAAUGCCCCCGCUGAACGGGGUAAAGUGCCAUUGAUACUGCCUUGCUGGAAUGCGGUUGCCGUGGGAGGAAUGUGUGGUGUAGCGGUGAAAUGCAUAGAUAUCACACAGAACACCGAUUGCGAAGGCAUCUCACGAAUCCGCGAUUGACGCUGAUGCACGAAAGCGUGGGUAUCAAACAGGAUUAGAUACCCGAGUAGUC
Molecule: ribosomal RNA, 442 nt
Filed under: uncultured bacterium
Lineage: Bacteria
Description: partial 16S ribosomal RNA
Rfam family: Bacterial small subunit ribosomal RNA
Source: RNAcentral